GGUUAAGCGACUAAGCGUACACGGUGGAUGCCCUGGCAGUCAGAGGCGAUGAAGGACGUGCUAAUCUGCGAAAAGCGUCGGUAAGGUGAUAUGAACCGUUAUAACCGGCGAUGUCCGAAUGGGGAAACCCAGUGCAAUUCGUUGCACUAUCGUUAACUGAAUACAUAGGUUAACGAGGCGAACCGGGGGAACUGAAACAUCUAAGUACCCCGAGGAAAAGAAAUCAACCGAGAUUCCCCCAGUAGCGGCGAGCGAACGGGGAGCAGCCCAGAGUCUGAAUCAGCUUGUGUGUUAGUGGAACGGUCUGGAAAGUCCGACGGUACAGGGUGAUAGUCCCGUACACCAAAAUGCACAGGCUGUGAACUCGAAGAGUAGGGCGGGACACGUGGUAUCCUGUCUGAAUAUGGGGGACCAUCCUCCAAGGCUAAAUACUCCUGACUGACCGAUAGUGAACCAGUACCGUGAGGGAAAGGCGAAAAGAACCCCGGCGAGGGGAGUGAAAAAGAACCUGAAACCGUGUACGUACAAGCAGUGGGAGCACCUUCGGGUGUGACUGCGUACCUUUUGUAUAAUGGGUCAGCGACUUAUAUUCUGUAGCAAGGUUAACCGUAUAGGGGAGCCGCAGGGAAACCGAGUCUUAACUGGGCGUUAAGUUGCAGGGUAUAGACCCGAAACCCGGUGAUCUAGCCAUGGGCAGGUUGAAGGUUGGGUAACACUAACUGGAGGACCGAACCGACUAAUGUUGAAAAAUUAGCGGAUGACUUGUGGCUGGGGGUGAAAGGCCAAUCAAACCGGGAGAUAGCUGGUUCUCCCCGAAAGCUAUUUAGGUAGCGCCUCGUGAACUCAUCUUCGGGGUAGAGCACUGUUUCGGCUAGGGGGUCAUCCCGACUUACCAACCCGAUGCAAACUACGAAUACCGAAGAAUGUUAUCACGGGAGACACACGGCGGGUGCUAACGUCCGUCGUGAAGAGGGAAACAACCCAGACCGCCAGCUAAGGUCCCAAAGUCAUGGUUAAGUGGGAAACGAUGUGGGAAGGCACAGACAGCCAGGAUGUUGGCUUAGAAGCAGCCAUCAUUUAAAGAAAGCGUAAUAGCUCACUGGUCGAGUCGGCCUGCGCGGAAGAUGUAACGGGGCUAAACCAUGCACCGAAGCUGCGGCAGCGACACUAUGUGUUGUUGGGUAGGGGAGCGUUCUGUAAGCCUGCGAAGGUGUGCUGUGAGGCAUGCUGGAGGUAUCAGAAGUGCGAAUGCUGACAUAAGUAACGAUAAAGCGGGUGAAAAGCCCGCUCGCCGGAAGACCAAGGGUUCCUGUCCAACGUUAAUCGGGGCAGGGUGAGUCGACCCCUAAGGCGAGGCCGAAAGGCGUAGUCGAUGGGAAACAGGUUAAUAUUCCUGUACUUGGUGUUACUGCGAAGGGGGGACGGAGAAGGCUAUGUUAGCCGGGCGACGGUUGUCCCGGUUUAAGCAUGUAGGCUGAUUGUCCAGGCAAAUCCGGAUAAUCAAGGCUGAGGUGUGAUGACGAGGCACUACGGUGCUGAAGUAACAAAUGCCCUGCUUCCAGGAAAAGCCUCUAAGCAUCAGGUAACAUUAAAUCGUACCCCAAACCGACACAGGUGGUCAGGUAGAGAAUACCAAGGCGCUUGAGAGAACUCGGGUGAAGGAACUAGGCAAAAUGGUGCCGUAACUUCGGGAGAAGGCACGCUGGUGUGUAGGUGAAGUCCCUGCGGAUGGAGCUGAGACCAGUCGAAGAUACCAGCUGGCUGCAACUGUUUAUUAAAAACACAGCACUGUGCAAACACGAAAGUGGACGUAUACGGUGUGACGCCUGCCCGGUGCCGGAAGGUUAAUUGAUGGGGUUAUCCGUAAGGAGAAGCUCUUGAUCGAAGCCCCGGUAAACGGCGGCCGUAACUAUAACGGUCCUAAGGUAGCGAAAUUCCUUGUCGGGUAAGUUCCGACCUGCACGAAUGGCGUAAUGAUGGCCAGGCUGUCUCCACCCGAGACUCAGUGAAAUUGAACUCGCUGUGAAGAUGCAGUGUACCCGCGGCAAGACGGAAAGACCCCGUGAACCUUUACUAUAGCUUGACACUGAACAUUGAGCCUUGAUGUGUAGGAUAGGUGGGAGGCUUUGAAGCGUGGACGCCAGUCUGCGUGGAGCCAACCUUGAAAUACCACCCUUUAAUGUUUGAUGUUCUAACGUUGGCCCCUGACCGGGGUUGCGGACAGUGUCUGGUGGGUAGUUUGACUGGGGCGGUCUCCUCCCAAAGCGUAACGGAGGAGCACGAAGGUUAGCUAAUCCUGGUCGGACAUCAGGAGGUUAGUGCAAUGGCAUAAGCUAGCUUGACUGCGAGCGUGACGGCGCGAGCAGGUGCGAAAGCAGGUCAUAGUGAUCCGGUGGUUCUGAAUGGAAGGGCCAUCGCUCAACGGAUAAAAGGUACUCCGGGGAUAACAGGCUGAUACCGCCCAAGAGUUCAUAUCGACGGCGGUGUUUGGCACCUCGAUGUCGGCUCAUCACAUCCUGGGGCUGAAGUAGGUCCCAAGGGUAUGGCUGUUCGCCAUUUAAAGUGGUACGCGAGCUGGGUUUAGAACGUCGUGAGACAGUUCGGUCCCUAUCUGCCGUGGGCGCUGGAGAAUUGAGGGGGGCUGCUCCUAGUACGAGAGGACCGGAGUGGACGCAUCACUGGUGUUCGGGUUGUCAUGCCAAUGGCACUGCCCGGUAGCUAAAUGCGGAAGAGAUAAGUGCUGAAAGCAUCUAAGCACGAAACUUGCCCCGAGAUGAGUUCUCCCUGAGACUUUAAGUCUCCUGAAGGAACGUUAAAGACGAUGACGUUGAUAGGCCGGGUGUGUAAGCGCAGCGAUGCGUUGAGCUAACCGGUACUAAUGAACCGUGAGGCUUAACCUU
Molecule: ribosomal RNA, 2900 nt
Filed under: Klebsiella pneumoniae
Lineage: Bacteria; Pseudomonadati; Pseudomonadota; Gammaproteobacteria; Enterobacterales; Enterobacteriaceae
Description: 23S ribosomal RNA
Rfam family: Bacterial large subunit ribosomal RNA
Source: RNAcentral